ACUGUAGCGCAAUGGAUAGCGCGUUGGACCUCUAAUCCAAAGGAAGAGGGUUCGGAUCCCACCUGGGAUG
Molecule: transfer RNA, 70 nt
Filed under: Trichonephila inaurata madagascariensis
Lineage: Eukaryota; Metazoa; Arthropoda; Arachnida; Araneae; Nephilidae
Description: tRNA-Arg
Rfam family: tRNA
About the family: Transfer RNA (tRNA) molecules are approximately 80 nucleotides in length. Their secondary structure includes four short double-helical elements and three loops (D, anti-codon, and T loops).
Source: RNAcentral